UACAGAGGUCUCAAGCGUUGUUCGGAAUCACUGGGCGUAAAGGGUGCGUAGGCGGUUCGUUAAGUCUGUUGUGAAAGCCCCGGGCUCAACCUGGGAAUGGCAAUGGAUACUGGCGAGCUAGAGUGUGUCAGAGGAUGGUGGAAUUCCCGGUGUAGCGGUGAAAUGCGUAGAGAUCGGGAGGAACACCGGUGGCGAAGGCGGGUCUCUGGGCCGAAAUUGACGCUGAGGAGCGAAAGCGUGGGGAGCAAACAGG
Molecule: ribosomal RNA, 253 nt
Filed under: uncultured bacterium
Lineage: Bacteria
Description: partial 16S ribosomal RNA
Rfam family: Bacterial small subunit ribosomal RNA
Source: RNAcentral